UCCCUGGUGGUCCAGUAGUUAGGACUCUGCACUUUCACUGCGGAGAGCCUGAGUUCAAUCACCAGUUGAGGAA
This 73-nucleotide transfer RNA is filed under the name Bos taurus (domestic cattle). It matches the Rfam family "tRNA". From Rfam's summary of the family: Transfer RNA (tRNA) molecules are approximately 80 nucleotides in length. Their secondary structure includes four short double-helical elements and three loops (D, anti-codon, and T loops). Further hydrogen bonds mediate the characteristic L-shaped molecular structure. tRNAs have two regions of fundamental functional importance: the anti-codon, which is responsible for specific mRNA codon recognition, and the 3' end, to which the tRNAs corresponding amino acid is attached (by aminoacyl-tRNA synthetases). tRNAs cope with the degeneracy of the genetic code in two manners: having more than one tRNA (with a specific anti-codon) for a particular amino acid; and 'wobble' base-pairing, i.e. permitting non-standard base-pairing at the 3rd anti-codon position. RNAcentral also lists the same sequence under 3 other names. Lineage: Eukaryota; Metazoa; Chordata; Mammalia; Artiodactyla; Bovidae. The record is from Rfam by way of RNAcentral.